This 203-nucleotide unclassified non-coding RNA is filed under the name fungal sp. Its description in RNAcentral is "partial internal transcribed spacer region". The stretch from base 1 to 46 matches the Rfam family "Eukaryotic small subunit ribosomal RNA", at positions 1786 to 1831 of the family's 1831-position model. The record is from RNAcentral. Lineage: Eukaryota; Fungi.
AAGUCGUAACAAGGUUUCCGUAGGUGAACCUGCGGAAGGAUUAUUAACACUUGUUUAGUACCUUUUGUCCUCUACCCGUACCGCUUGCCGCCACGAUUGGGAUCUUGUCGCACCCGUUUUCGCUGGAAAUACCCGCUCGGGGCCUGAGAACCUCCAGAGCUGGAAUACCCGAACAACUGUUAACAAUGGAUAUCUUGGCUCUC